CCUGAUUGAUUUUGGUCGCCAACGAGUGGCGGACGGGUGAGUAACACGUAGGUAACCUGCCCAGAAGCGGGGGACAACAUUUGGAAACAGAUGCUAAUACCGCAUAACAGCGUUGUUCGCAUGAACAACGCUUAAAAGAUGGCUUCUCGCUAUCACUUCUGGAUGGACCUGCGGUGCAUUAGCUUGUUGGUGGGGUAACGGCCUACCAAGGCGAUGAUGCAUAGCCGAGUUGAGAGACUGAUCGGCCACAAUGGGACUGAGACACGGCCCAUACUCCUACGGGAGGCAGCAGUAGGGAAUCUUCCACAAUGGGCGCAAGCCUGAUGGAGCAACACCGCGUGAGUGAAGAAGGGUUUCGGCUCGUAAAGCUCUGUUGUUAAAGAAGAACACGUAUGAGAGUAACUGUUCAUACGUUGACGGUAUUUAACCAGAAAGUCACGGCUAACUACGUGCCAGCAGCCGCGGUAAUACGUAGGUGGCAAGCGUUAUCCGGAUUUAUUGGGCGUAAAGAGAGUGCAGGCGGUUUUCUAAGUCUGAUGUGAAAGCCUUCGGCUUAACCGGAGAAGUGCAUCGGAAACUGGAUAACUUGAGUGCAGAAGAGGGUAGUGGAACUCCAUGUGUAGCGGUGGAAUGCGUAGAUAUAUGGAAGAACACCAGUGGCGAAGGCGGCUACCUGGUCUGCAACUGACGCUGAGACUCGAAAGCAUGGGUAGCGAACAGGAUUAGAUACCCUGGUAGUCCAUGCCGUAAACGAUGAGUGCUAGGUGUUGGAGGGUUUCCGCCCUUCAGUGCCGGAGCUAACGCAUUAAGCACUCCGCCUGGGGAGUACGACCGCAAGGUUGAAACUCAAAGGAAUUGACGGGGGCCCGCACAAGCGGUGGAGCAUGUGGUUUAAUUCGAAGCUACGCGAAGAACCUUACCAGGUCUUGACAUCUUGCGCCAACCCUAGAGAUAGGGCGUUUCCUUCGGGAACGCAAUGACAGGUGGUGCAUGGUCGUCGUCAGCUCGUGUCGUGAGAUGUUGGGUUAAGUCCCGCAACGAGCGCAACCCUUGUUACUAGUUGCCAGCAUUAAGUUGGGCACUCUAGUGAGACUGCCGGUGACAAACCGGAGGAAGGUGGGGACGACGUCAGAUCAUCAUGCCCCUUAUGACCUGGGCUACACACGUGCUACAAUGGACGGUACAACGAGUCGCGAACUCGCGAGGGCAAGCAAAUCUCUUAAAACCGUUCUCAGUUCGGACUGCAGGCUGCAACUCGCCUGCACGAAGUCGGAAUCGCUAGUAAUCGCGGAUCAGCAUGCCGCGGUGAAUACGUUCCCGGGCCUUGUACACACCGCCCGUCACACCAUGAGAGUUUGUAA
Molecule: ribosomal RNA, 1361 nt
Filed under: Limosilactobacillus fermentum
Lineage: Bacteria; Bacillati; Bacillota; Bacilli; Lactobacillales; Lactobacillaceae
Description: bacterial SSU rRNA
Rfam family: Bacterial small subunit ribosomal RNA
Source: RNAcentral